Molecule: ribosomal RNA, 196 nt
Filed under: uncultured bacterium
Lineage: Bacteria
Description: partial 16S ribosomal RNA
Rfam family: Bacterial small subunit ribosomal RNA
Source: RNAcentral
GCGGCACGCCUAACACAUGCAAGUCGAACGAAGUAGCAAUACUUAGUGGCAGACGGGUGAGUAACAUGUAGGUAUCUGCCCUUUGGCCUGGAAUAACACGAGGAAACUUGUGCUAAUACCGGAUAAGUCUUUACGGAGAAAGCUUUAUGCACCAUUGGAUGAGCCUGCACUUGAUUAGUUUGUUGGUGGGGUAAUG